UUUUAUGGAGAGUUUGAUCCUGGCUCAGGAUGAACGCUGGCGGCGUGCCUAAUACAUGCAAGUCGAGCGAACGGACGAGAAGCUUGCUUCUCUGAUGUUAGCGGCGGACGGGUGAGUAACACGUGGAUAACCUACCUAUAAGACUGGGAUAACUUCGGGAAACCGGAGCUAAUACCGGAUAAUAUUUUGAACCGCAUGGUUCAAAAGUGAAAGACGGUCUUGCUGUCACUUAUAGAUGGAUCCGCGCUGCAUUAGCUAGUUGGUAAGGUAACGGCUUACCAAGGCAACGAUGCAUAGCCGACCUGAGAGGGUGAUCGGCCACACUGGAACUGAGACACGGUCCAGACUCCUACGGGAGGCAGCAGUAGGGAAUCUUCCGCAAUGGGCGAAAGCCUGACGGAGCAACGCCGCGUGAGUGAUGAAGGUCUUCGGAUCGUAAAACUCUGUUAUUAGGGAAGAACAUAUGUGUAAGUAACUGUGCACAUCUUGACGGUACCUAAUCAGAAAGCCACGGCUAACUACGUGCCAGCAGCCGCGGUAAUACGUAGGUGGCAAGCGUUAUCCGGAAUUAUUGGGCGUAAAGCGCGCGUAGGCGGUUUUUUAAGUCUGAUGUGAAAGCCCACGGCUCAACCGUGGAGGGUCAUUGGAAACUGGAAAACUUGAGUGCAGAAGAGGAAAGUGGAAUUCCAUGUGUAGCGGUGAAAUGCGCAGAGAUAUGGAGGAACACCAGUGGCGAAGGCGACUUUCUGGUCUGUAACUGACGCUGAUGUGCGAAAGCGUGGGGAUCAAACAGGAUUAGAUACCCUGGUAGUCCACGCCGUAAACGAUGAGUGCUAAGUGUUAGGGGGUUUCCGCCCCUUAGUGCUGCAGCUAACGCAUUAAGCACUCCGCCUGGGGAGUACGACCGCAAGGUUGAAACUCAAAGGAAUUGACGGGGACCCGCACAAGCGGUGGAGCAUGUGGUUUAAUUCGAAGCAACGCGAAGAACCUUACCAAAUCUUGACAUCCUUUGACAACUCUAGAGAUAGAGCCUUCCCCUUCGGGGGACAAAGUGACAGGUGGUGCAUGGUUGUCGUCAGCUCGUGUCGUGAGAUGUUGGGUUAAGUCCCGCAACGAGCGCAACCCUUAAGCUUAGUUGCCAUCAUUAAGUUGGGCACUCUAAGUUGACUGCCGGUGACAAACCGGAGGAAGGUGGGGAUGACGUCAAAUCAUCAUGCCCCUUAUGAUUUGGGCUACACACGUGCUACAAUGGACAAUACAAAGGGCAGCGAAACCGCGAGGUCAAGCAAAUCCCAUAAAGUUGUUCUCAGUUCGGAUUGUAGUCUGCAACUCGACUACAUGAAGCUGGAAUCGCUAGUAAUCGUAGAUCAGCAUGCUACGGUGAAUACGUUCUCGGGUCUUGUACACACCGCCCGUCACACCACGAGAGUUUGUAACACCCGAAGCCGGUGGAGUAACCUUUUAGGAGCUAGCCGUCGAAGGUGGGACAAAUGAUUGGGGUGAAGUCGUAACAAGGUAGCCGUAUCGGAAGGUGCGGCUGGAUCACCUCCUUUCUAA
Molecule: ribosomal RNA, 1557 nt
Filed under: Staphylococcus aureus
Lineage: Bacteria; Bacillati; Bacillota; Bacilli; Caryophanales; Staphylococcaceae
Description: 16S ribosomal RNA
Rfam family: Bacterial small subunit ribosomal RNA
Source: RNAcentral